This 29-nucleotide non-coding RNA is filed under the name Rattus norvegicus (Norway rat). The record is from RNAcentral. Lineage: Eukaryota; Metazoa; Chordata; Mammalia; Rodentia; Muridae.
UCUUGAGUUACCUUGGGUGCUUGGAACAG